This is a non-coding RNA of Schizosaccharomyces pombe (fission yeast), 1922 nucleotides long. Lineage: Eukaryota; Fungi; Ascomycota; Schizosaccharomycetes; Schizosaccharomycetales; Schizosaccharomycetaceae. The record is from the annotation of a GenBank genome assembly.
AACUUUUCUUGACCAGCGGUAUCCCAAACAUUAAAGCAAAUUUCACCAAAAUUAGUAUGAAAAUGCAAAGGAUGGACCUCAACACCCUAAAAAUAUGUUAGACUGUUGUUUCUAAACGAAAGAUCUAAGCAUAAAAAGAGUAACUGAAAACCGAUGAUGCACGAGUACAGAUAACUGUAUGUCUCAUAAAAAGAUGGCAUUUAUUUACGAUACUAGGCAUCGUUUCCGGUAUACAAAAACUGUUCUAAUAAAGUAAAAUCAUAAAACGUACCAAAGUUGCAAUAUACUUCUUUUCAAAUUCACCAGUCAAAUGACGCUUGACGAACGUGGUCUUACCGGUACCACCAUCGCCGACAAGUACAAGCUUAAAGGUAGGAACGUUUUGUGGUUGAGCCAUACUAAACUUUUCUCUGUUGCACCUAAACUAACUGAGAGUUUGGUUAAAGGAAAAUUUUAGUGGUGCGUAAUUUUUAUAUGAAUAAAAGACCUGGGUAUAACAAAACCCUAACCCUGAUAGUCGAUUGGAAUUUAACAGAAAAGGGAGUGUAUGGUAUAGUUUUUUAAUGCCGAUUUAACGAAUUGUUUAACGAGUUUGACUAUUGCUCUUAUUGAAGUUGAUCGCCAAAAAAUGGAUAUAGUGUCGUUUUUGAAAUUUCAAAAAAGAAUUGCUUCUACGAAAAGCUACAUUUGUGCGUACUUGCUUAUACAUUCUGGGUUUAUACACAACUUACAAGCAGCCAAUGCUUACUUUUUGGACGUCACUACACGGUUUUGAUUGCAUGUAAAGAUAAAAAACCGCAGCCAAGAAAACGUAUUUGCUAAUCCAAGGAAUGCCAGGAAUGCCCAUACAUAGAAAACAAACAUUCUAAAUUUUCAUUAGCUAUAUUAGUAUCACUAGUAAAAGGCCUACGAAUUCUGCAAUGAUCCAGGUCCGCUACCAGCGUGGACUCAGCUGGAUCGAAAUGAUCGAAAUAAAGAUUAAAAAUAAAACAAACGAAAGUGGUAGGAAGUCGACAAACAAAUGAAAAUUAUCAGUAAAAAAAUGCUGAAUUAAUAGAAUGAUGCAUUUGCUUUUAAAAAUUUAUGCAAUAAAAGAUAAAAGCAAAUAAUUCAACGUUAAAUAAGCCAUAUGUGCAUGAUGAAGAUACUAUAGCUUCCGCUAGUAAAUGUCGGUAAACCAGAAUCGAAAUGAGCGUAUCAAAUAUGCCCGGUUAAUUCUUAAAUUGGUGUCAAAUAUGUCCGCAGUAAAAGCAUCAACGAAUUUAAAAUUCAAACAUAUUAGCUAUGUUUUCAAUUUUGAAGGGAUAUUUAGUUUGAAAAUAGAUUAAGGAAAACCAGAUACUAAGAACAGGGUCUGUUGCGCAGGUUUUAGAAUUGGAAUGUGUUGCACUUUGCUUUUGUGGAUUUUGAGGAGUGUCGGUAUUUAUUUUUGCUUGCUUGAUUUCUUAUUCUUUUGUUUUGCAUUCUUCUUUAAUCCAAUCGAAGAAGUGAGAUUUGCUUCAUUUUCAUCAUCAAUUAAUAGAGAAGGAGGCCUAGUACGAAGUUCUUUAGCUUUGCUAAGUGAAAUGGUAGGCAUUCUCGACGUUGUCAAAACAGGUACCGACAUAUCGCGUUCCACAGUAGCCUUGAGAAAAGCCGAAGACCAACGAUGUAAUUCUUCAUUAUUUUCACAAGUAAAAUAAUGAACCUUUGGUGGAGUGAACAUAACUGCUGCUUUAGCGGCACCUGGAGCAGGUGGAAUUAACUUGAUAGCAGUUUUGCCUCCACUUAGAACAAUGUCAUCGGUUUUCGUAACACGAUGAGAAGUCAUAUCAAUUAGGCCUUUUUCUGAAGCAUCAUUUAAUGAAUGGUAAUAAGAAAGCCUUGUUCCUUUUAAUACAAAGUAUCUAGACUUCCAAACACCGUAACGAUCACUACGUUUC